CGACCGGCAGACGGGUGAGUAACGCGUAUGUAACCUACCCUGUACAGGGGGAUAACCCGGAGAAAUUCGGACUAAUAUCCCAUAAUAUUAUGAGAGGGCAUCUGAUUAUAAUUAAAGUUCCGGCGGUACGGGAUGGGCAUGCGUAACAUUAGCUAGUUGGUAGGGUAACGGCCUACCAAGGCAUUGAUGUUUAGGGGUCCUGAGAGGGUGGUCCCCCACACUGGUACUGAGACACGGACCAGACUCCUACGGGAGGCAGCAGUGAGGAAUAUUGGUCAAUGGGCGCAAGCCUGAACCAGCCAUCCCGCGUGCAGGAAGACGGCCCUAUGGGUUGUAAACUGCUUUUCCAGAAGGCGAAACGCUCUGACGUGUCUGGGUUUGACGGUAUUUUGGGAAUAAGCAUCGGCUAACUCCGUGCCAGCAGCCGCGGUAAUACGGAGGAUGCGAGCGUUAUCCGGAUUCAUUGGGUUUAAAGGGUGCGUAGGCGGACUAUUAAGUCAGUGGUGAAAUCCUCCCGCUUAACGGGAGAACUGCCAUUGAUACUGAUAGCCUUGAGUUUGGUUAAGGUAGGCGGAAUGUGUAAUGUAGCGGUGAAAUGCUUAGAUAUUACACAGAACACCGAUUGCGAAGGCAGCUUACUGGACCGACACUGACGCUGAGGCACGAAAGCGUGGGGAUCGAACAGGAUUAGAUACCCUGGUAGUCCACGCCGUAAACGAUGAUUACUCGCUGUUGGCGAUACACAGUCAGCGGCUAAGCAAAAGCAAUAAGUAAUCCACCUGGGGAGUACGGCCGCAAGGUUGAAACUCAAAGGAAUUGACGGGGGCCCGCACAAGCGGAGGAACAUGUGGUUUAAUUCGAUGAUACGCGAGGAACCUUACCUGGGCUUAA
Molecule: ribosomal RNA, 891 nt
Filed under: uncultured bacterium
Lineage: Bacteria
Description: bacterial SSU rRNA
Rfam family: Bacterial small subunit ribosomal RNA
Source: RNAcentral